GUCUUACCAGACAAAUUUAGA
RNAcentral lists this microRNA (21 nucleotides) under Ophiophagus hannah (king cobra). RNAcentral's name for it is "oha-miR-429-5p". Its record names the gene oha-miR-429-5p. RNAcentral also lists the same sequence under 1 other name. Lineage: Eukaryota; Metazoa; Chordata; Lepidosauria; Squamata; Elapidae. The record is from miRBase by way of RNAcentral.